This 914-nucleotide ribosomal RNA is filed under the name Aspiculuris sp. PC-2022. RNAcentral's name for it is "large subunit ribosomal RNA". Lineage: Eukaryota; Metazoa; Nematoda; Chromadorea; Rhabditida; Heteroxynematidae. The record is from RNAcentral.
UGUUUUGUUUUGUUUUUGUGAUGUUAGUAUUGCAUACUGUUGGAGGAGAAUUUUGUUGUUGUACGAAUAAUGGAAAUUACUUGUAAAUGUUUUUUUUUUUUUGUUGUUUUAAAACAAAAAAUAGAAAUUUAUGGGAUUGAAAAGGCGGAAGUGAUGAUAUCUGUUUUUUUUGUUUUGUAUUGGAAAGUUAUAUUGUUUGAUUUGGUUGGUUUUAUUUUUAUGUAGAGUUGGAAGUUCUUGAUUUUUUUUGUGUGUAAUGACGUUUUUUUUUGGUUGUUUUUAAUUGGGUUGUUUUAUUAUUAAUUUUUUAAUAAUUUUAUAAUUUUUAAUUUAGUAGAAUGUUGUUUAGGAGGUGUGUUUUUUUUAAUUUUAUUGAAAGAACUAGAAAUGGGAUCAGAUGUUUGUUAAAGACUUAGGUUUUUAUUUUAAGCUGGCCUCUGCCCGGUGAGGGGUUUUAACGGCAGCCUUAACGUGAGGGUGAGAAGGUAGCAAAAUGAUUUGUGUUUUUAUUGGAUUCCGGUAUGAAUGGGGUUAAUUGGUUUCGGUUUUUUUUUUAUUUUUGUUGAAUUAGAUUUUUAAUUAAGAAUUAUUGUGUUUAUUUAAACUAAGAUAAGUCUUCGGAAAUUUUUUUUUGUGUUGUUUGGGGAAAAUGUGUCUGUAUUUUUUUUAAUCUUUUUGAUAAUUGUUAAAAAUUACUCCGGAGUUAACAGAAUGGCGUUUUUGAUAUAGUUGUUAUAUUAGAAAGAGCAUUACAUCGAUGUUGUAUUUUUGUUAUUAAAUAGGUAGAGGGAUUUGUAUUUGAGACUGUUCUUCUUUUAUGAAAUAAAACGUGAUAUUAGUUUAGUUCAUUGUGAAAUAGAAUUGUUUAUCUAGUUAAUUAAGUUUGGGUUUACUGCUUAGUACGAAAGGAAAGG